RNAcentral lists this ribosomal RNA (301 nucleotides) under uncultured bacterium. RNAcentral's name for it is "partial 16S ribosomal RNA". It matches the Rfam family "Bacterial small subunit ribosomal RNA", at positions 509 to 809 of the family's 1533-position model. The record is from RNAcentral.
CAGUAGCCGCGGUAAUACAGAGGGUGCGAGCGUUAAUCGGAUUUACUGGGCGUAAAGCGUGCGUAGGCGGCUUCUUAAGUCGGAUGUGAAAUCCCUGAGCUUAACUUAGGAAUUGCAUUCGAUACUGGGAAGCUAGAGUAUGGGAGAGGAUGGUAGAAUUCCAGGUGUAGCGGUGAAAUGCGUAGAGAUCUGGAGGAAUACCGAUGGCGAAGGCAGCCAUCUGGCCUAAUACUGACGCUGAGGUACGAAAGCAUGGGGAGCAAACAGGAUUAGAUACCCCAGUAGUCCCUGUCUCUUAUAU